Molecule: microRNA precursor, 90 nt
Filed under: Triticum aestivum (bread wheat)
Lineage: Eukaryota; Viridiplantae; Streptophyta; Magnoliopsida; Poales; Poaceae
Description: miR5050 stem-loop (tae-MIR5050)
Source: miRBase by way of RNAcentral
GCCGGUUGAACGACCUCACCAUGUCGACCGCCUCUCCUCAAGAAGUGCCAGGGAGAUCUGCUCGUGCCAUGAUGAGGUCGUUCAACCAGC